This 87-nucleotide ribosomal RNA is filed under the name Actinokineospora cianjurensis. The record is from RNAcentral. Lineage: Bacteria; Bacillati; Actinomycetota; Actinomycetes; Pseudonocardiales; Pseudonocardiaceae.
GGUCCCAUUCCGAACCCGGAAGCUAAGCCCACCUGCGCCGAUGGUACUGCACUCGUGAGGGUGUGGGAGAGUAGGACGCCGCCGGAC